UCCCAAUGAUGAACUUAGCUCACUUUGAACCGAUGUGAAACGACAUGAACUACUGAGUGAC
Molecule: small nucleolar RNA, 61 nt
Filed under: Oncorhynchus mykiss (rainbow trout)
Lineage: Eukaryota; Metazoa; Chordata; Actinopteri; Salmoniformes; Salmonidae
Source: RNAcentral